Long non-coding RNA from Saccostrea cuccullata (small rock oyster), 264 nucleotides. RefSeq lists it as uncharacterized. Lineage: Eukaryota; Metazoa; Mollusca; Bivalvia; Ostreida; Ostreidae. The record is from RefSeq and is a predicted model, not a curated record. The transcript has 3 exons.
UAUCAUUGAAACGUGAAAAUUCUUCCCUCUUUUUAUUUCAGAAGAAAAAUUACAUAUUCACCAGUUUCAUUAUUAAUUGUGAAUGACAAGAAGCAUAUCUAUUUCAGAAUGACCUGCUCGUACACAUAUCGCCUUACACUUGAUACUGGGACGAAAAUACCCCCAGGAACCCAACCACAAACACAUAUAGAAAAAAGACUCUCGGAUGCCUUUGAGAAACGCAUUAAAUCUGUGGAAAGCAAAAUAUAUCAGAGAUCAAAAUCU